RNAcentral lists this small nucleolar RNA (132 nucleotides) under Xenopus laevis (African clawed frog). Its description in RNAcentral is "Small nucleolar RNA SNORA27". It matches the Rfam family "Small nucleolar RNA SNORA27". From Rfam's summary of the family: ACA27 is a member of the H/ACA class of snoRNA that guide the sites of modification of uridines to pseudouridines. The record is from Rfam by way of RNAcentral. Lineage: Eukaryota; Metazoa; Chordata; Amphibia; Anura; Pipidae.
CAAGCCCUUUUCACUUUACCAUUUGGAUCUCUUGUGUCUACAGUGGUCAUUCAAGAGGGCAACAAAAAAUUUCCCCUUAAAACCCAGGCAAAUCCAACGUAUUUUGCUUGUGUCCUGUCAGCGGAAACAUUG